Molecule: ribosomal RNA, 468 nt
Filed under: uncultured bacterium
Lineage: Bacteria
Description: partial 16S ribosomal RNA
Rfam family: Bacterial small subunit ribosomal RNA
Source: RNAcentral
GACGAACGCUGGCGGCGUGCUUAACACAUGCAAGUCGAACGGAAAGGCCCUGCUUUUGUGGGGUGCUCGAGUGGCGAACGGGUGAGUAACACGUGAGUAACCUGCCCUUGACUUUGGGAUAACUUCAGGAAACUGGGGCUAAUACCGGAUAGGAGCUCCUGCUGCAUGGUGGGGGUUGGAAAGUUUCGGCGGUUGGGGAUGGACUCGCGGCUUAUCAGCUUGUUGGUGGGGUAGUGGCUUACCAAGGCUUUGACGGGUAGCCGGCCUGCGAGGGUGACCGGCCACAUUGGGACUGAGAUACGGCCCAGACUCCUACGGGAGGCAGCAGUGGGGAAUAUUGCACAAUGGGCGGAAGCCUGAUGCAGCAACGCCGCGGGCGUGAUGACGGCCUUCGGGUGGUAAACCGCUUUCGCCUGUGACGAAGCGUGAGUGACGGUAAUGGGUAAAGAAGCACCGGCUAACUACGUG